RNAcentral lists this ribosomal RNA (551 nucleotides) under Barriopsis sp. 1118AMSTITWLS. RNAcentral's name for it is "eukaryotic LSU rRNA". The stretch from base 176 to 329 matches the Rfam family "5.8S ribosomal RNA". Lineage: Eukaryota; Fungi; Ascomycota; Dothideomycetes; Botryosphaeriales; Botryosphaeriaceae. The record is from RNAcentral.
CCUUCUGUAGGUGAACCUGCGGAAGGAUCAUUACCGAGUUCUCGGGCUUCGGCUCGACUCUCCCACCCUAUUGUGAACAUACCUCUGGAUUGCUUUGGCGGCUUUCGGGCCGCCAGAGGACUAUCAAACUCCAGUCAGUAAACGUUGACGUCUGAUAAACAAGUUAAUAAACUAAAACUUUCAACAACGGAUCUCUUGGUUCUGGCAUCGAUGAAGAACGCAGCGAAAUGCGAUAAGUAAUGUGAAUUGCAGAAUUCAGUGAAUCAUCGAAUCUUUGAACGCACAUUGCGCCCCUUGGUAUUCCGAGGGGCAUGCCUGUUCGAGCGUCAUUACAACCCUCAAGCUCUGCUUGGUAUUGGGCGUCGUCCUCUUGCGGACGCGCCUCAAAGACCUCGGCGGUGGCUCUGGCCCUCAAGCGUAGUAGAAUACACCUCGCUUUGGAGCGGUUUGGAGUCGCCCGCCGGACGAACCUUCUGAACUUUUCUCAAGGUUGACCUCGGAUCAGGUAGGGAUACCCGCUGAACUUAAGCAUAUCAAUAAGCGGAGGAACU